CGACAAUAUCGUUCCUUCCAAAAGAUGAUGCUCGGAGAACGACACCGUCCCAAUCCGUCGGUACACGUUCCGCCGUGGGCCCUCCUCGACGAUACAAAUCCUGAGGCUUAUCCUUCGUCGCCGAUGGGCUCCCACUCCGGCAAUGCUGCUACAGCCUCUGACUACAACCCGUACAAUAUCCAAGAAGUGGUGGCUGCGCUGCAGUGUUAUCUGCCGUCGAACGAACCGGACUUGGACCCUGACUACGAGUUAUCGGGUCUGGAGCCGGACUCUCCGGUGGACGCCUACUCUUGCGAUCAUUUUCGGAUGUUCGAGUUCAAGGUGAGGCGGUGUGCACGUGGCAGGUCACAUGACUGGACCGAGUGCCCUUACGCUCAUCCAGGUGAGAAAGCUAGGAGAAGGGACCCGAGAAAGUAUCAUUACUCUGGUACAGCUUGCCCUGAUUUUCGCAAAGGGAGUUGCAAGAAAGGUGAUGCGUGUGAGUUCGCCCAUGGUGUGUUUGAGUGCUGGUUGCACCCUGCGCGUUACAGAACUCAGCCGUGCAAGGAUGGUCCAAACUGUAGGAGGAGGGUCUGCUUUUUUGCUCACACGGCGGAGCAACUCAGGGUUCUGCCUCAGCAGAGCCCUAGGAGUGUCAACUCCAUCGACUCUUACGAUGGAUCGCCCCUGAGACAGGCUAUAGAAGCUUCUUGCGGCAAAAGUCUUCCCUUUUUGGCUAGCCCCGGAUCGAUUUCACCUCCUGCCACGCCGCCGGUUGAUUCCCCUCCUAUGUCGCCGAUGACUCAAUCCUUAAGUCGGUCCCUUGGGUCUAAUUCGAUCAAUGAAAUGGUGGCUUCACUAAGGAAUUUACAGCUUGGCAAGGGGAAGUCCUUGCCUUCUUCUUGGAAUGUGCAGGUUGGUGGAUCCGGGUUUGGAUCUCCAAGAGGGUCAAUGAUCCGACCCGUAUUCUGUAGCCUGCCAUCCACUCCAACGGGCGGUCCAACCCGUUCAGGACUGGGUCACCGUGAUAUUUGGGAAAAUGAUUGCGAGGAGGAGCCUGCGAUGGAGAGAGUGGAAUCAGGGAGGGACCUGCGUGCAAAGAUGUUUGAGAAGUUGAAGAAGGAGAACUCGUUGGGUCGGGUUGGCCCGUAUGCAGGCCAAUCUACUAAUGGUCCGGAUGUUGGGUGGGUCUCGGAGCUCUUGCAGUGAAGUGAGCCCGAGCCAAGUUGCUUUUGAAAAUUGUUAAUUAUUUUUGGUGAAGUCUACCCCUCACUGUGAAUAGUAUUUGAAGAAUUGAGAGAGGGAAAAUGGGAAUUUGGCAUCUGGAAGCAAGAAAUUUGUGUAUAUUUAAAAAAAAAAAUCAUUAAUAAGUAGAAUUAAAUCUUGUGGGUGAAGAGCUACGAAUCUCUUUUUUGGGGAAUUUUCUGAGAAAGUCCAGAAUUCUGACAGCAAUUGAAGUAGAAGUUGGAGGAGAAAUUGUAUAAUGAAGAAGAAGAUGGAUUAUUCCCUUUUCUCUAUUCGGUUUUAAUGGUUGAGUAGUGUCUCUGUUAGUAUUAAAAUUAUGAAAAUAUGGAAGCUGCAGAUCUUAUUAUUGUAAAAAAAAAAAUUGAAGAUUACAGCCAUGUAAUUGCCUCAGCUAUUUUGCUGUAUUGAAUUUGCUUAGGUAUUUGUUCACCUGAAUUUGUUUAUUAAAAUAAUUGAAUAAAUAUAUUAUAUAUCUAUAUUAAAAAAAUGAGAGAUGGGAGAUGAUAAACAUUAGAGUGAGAUCCUCCCUUGUUGAGGGUAAGAUUGAAGAUAGUCAACAUUUACAUGUCUGUGUUUGAAGGGACAGAAAAGAAAGGGUUAGGUUUAGUAACAGAGGCAUUGAGGAGGAUACCAG
RNAcentral lists this unclassified non-coding RNA (1858 nucleotides) under Hevea brasiliensis (rubber tree). The record is from RNAcentral. Lineage: Eukaryota; Viridiplantae; Streptophyta; Magnoliopsida; Malpighiales; Euphorbiaceae.